RNAcentral lists this ribosomal RNA (468 nucleotides) under uncultured bacterium. Its description in RNAcentral is "partial 16S ribosomal RNA". It matches the Rfam family "Bacterial small subunit ribosomal RNA", at positions 28 to 507 of the family's 1533-position model. The record is from RNAcentral.
GACGAACGCUGGCGGCGUGCUUAACACAUGCAAGUCGAACGGAAAGGCCCUGCUCUUGUGGGGUGCUCGAGUGGCGAACGGGUGAGUAACACGUGAGUAACCUGCCCUUGACUGUGGGAUAACUUCAGGAAACUGGGGCUAAUACCGGAUAGGAGCUCCUGCUGCAUGGUGGGGGCUGGAAAGUUUCGGCGGUGGGGGAUGGACUCGCGGCUUACCAGCUUGUUGGUGGGGUAGUGGCCUACCAAGGCUUUGACGGGUAGCCGGCCGGGGAGGGUGACCGGCCACCUUGGGCCUGAGAUACGGCCCAGACUCCUACGGGAGGCAGCAGUGGGGAAUAUUGCACAAUGGGCGGAAGCCUGAUGCAGCAACGCCGCGUGCGGGAUGACGGCCUUCGGGUUGUAAACCGCUUUCGCCUGUGACGAAGCGUGAGUGACGGUAAUGGGUAAAGAAGCACCGGCUAACUACGUG